CAUAUGUUUCAGGGCGGGGCGAAAUUCCCCACCGGCGGUAAAUGGAUGCGAAACGUGCGUCCACAAGCCCGCGAGCCGCGCAAGCGGUUGAUCCGGUGCGAAUCCGGGGCCGACGGUAUAGUCCGGAUGAGAGAAACGAGGU
Molecule: regulatory RNA element, 142 nt
Organism: Collinsella tanakaei YIT 12063
Lineage: Bacteria; Bacillati; Actinomycetota; Coriobacteriia; Coriobacteriales; Coriobacteriaceae
Rfam family: FMN riboswitch aptamer (RFN element)
About the family: The RFN element is a highly conserved domain that is found frequently in the 5'-untranslated regions of prokaryotic mRNAs that encode for flavin mononucleotide (FMN) biosynthesis and transport proteins. This element is a metabolite-dependent riboswitch that directly binds FMN in the absence of proteins.
Source: Rfam